This is a long non-coding RNA of Sinocyclocheilus grahami, 378 nucleotides long. RefSeq lists it as uncharacterized. NCBI's taxonomy places the organism in Eukaryota, Metazoa, Chordata, Actinopteri, Cypriniformes, Cyprinidae. The transcript has 3 exons. The record is from RefSeq and is a predicted model, not a curated record.
GACAUCAUUCUAUAGGAGGUAUCUGUUGCUCAAGAUGGCGGCUGGUCUGGUUUAAUCGAGGACGGGUCAGGCCGAGAGAGACCUGAAGAAUCUUCUGCAUUCUAGUCCGUGAAUGUUAAUGAGUCAUAUUGGAGGAUAGUAACAAAUCAUGUUAAAAGAAGAGAUGUUACGUACUAGCCUCCAAGGAUGAUGAUGUCAGCUUUUCAGCUCCAAUGAAGCAUGCAAGAAACACAAGAUUUGUGCUACAUCGCUUAACACAUCCCAAGAACAAGAGUUAAAUGAAGAAGCAAGUAAAAUGUCAGAUUGGAUGGAUUAACGCUCAUCAUUCAGGCAUCUAAAGGACAGUCCAAAUGACUUAAAGAAAUAUAUCACACAAAA